AACGCUAGCGGCAGACUUAACACAUGCAAGUCGAGGGGUAACGACUCCGUCUUCGGAUGGAGGUCGACGACCGGCGCACGGGUGAGUAACGCGUAUGCAACCUACCUUUUACAGGAGGAUAGCCCAGAGAAAUUUGGAUUAAUACUCCAUAGUACUAAUGAAUCACCUGGUUUAUUAGUUAAAACUCCGGUGGUAAAAGAUGGGCAUGCGUGUCAUUAGCUAGUUGGUAGGGUAACGGCCUACCAAGGCGAAGAUGACUAGGGGUUCUGAGAGGAAGAUCCCCCACACUGGUACUGAGACACGGACCAGACUCCUACGGGAGGCAGCAGUGAGGAAUAUUGGUCAAUGGGUGAGAGCCUGAACCAGCCAUGCCGCGUGAAGGAAGACUGCCCUAUGGGUUGUAAACUUCUUUUCUGCAGGAAGAAACCACUCUACGUGUAGGGUGUUGCCGGUACUGCAGGAAUAAGCAUCGGCUAACUCCGUGCCAGCAGCCGCGGUAAUACGGAGGAUGCAAGCGUUAUCCGGAUUUAUUGGGUUUAAAGGGUGCGUAGGCUGGCUUGUAAGUCAGUGGUGAAAUGCUGUGGCUUAACCAUAGAAUUGCCAUUGAAACUGCAAGUCUUGAGUAACAGUUGAGGUAGGCGGAAUGAGUAAUGUAGCGGUGAAAUGCAUAGAUAUUACUCAGAACUCCGAUUGCGUAGGCAGCCUGCUAAACUGUAACUAACGCUGAUGCACGAAAGCGUGGGGAGCGAACAGGAUUAGAUACCCUGGUAGUCCACGCUGUAAACGAUGAGCACUGGUUGUUGGCAAUACACCGUCAGCGACUGAGCGAAAGUAUUAAGUGCUCCACCUGGGGAGUACGUCGGCAACGAUGAAACUCAAAGGAAUUGACGGGGGCCCGCACAAGCGGAGGAACAUGUGGUUUAAUUCGAUGAUACGCGAGGAACCUUACCUGGGCUUAAAUGUAGAGUGCAUUGCUUGGAAACAGGCAUUUUCUUCGGAACUCUUUACAAGGUGCUGCAUGGUUGUCGUCAGCUCGUGCCGUGAGGUGUCGGGUUAAGUCCCAUAACGAGCGCAACCCCUAUUGUUAGUUACCAGCACGUAAUGGUGGGGACUCUAGCAAGACUGCCGGUGUAAACCGUGAGGAAGGUGGGGAUGACGUCAAAUCAGCACGGCCCUUAUGUCCAGGGCUACACACGUGUUACAAUGGCAAGUACAAAGAGCAGCCACCUGGCGACAGGGCGCUAAUCUCAAAAGCUUGUCUCAGUUCGGAUCGAAGUCUGCAACUCGACUUCGUGAAGGUGGAUUCGCUAGUAAUCGCGCAUCAGCCAUGGCGCGGUGAGUACGUUCCCGGGCAUUGUACACACCGCCCGUCAAGCCAUG
Molecule: ribosomal RNA, 1380 nt
Filed under: uncultured organism
Description: bacterial SSU rRNA
Rfam family: Bacterial small subunit ribosomal RNA
Source: RNAcentral